Urocitellus parryii (Arctic ground squirrel) is the source of this 635-nucleotide non-coding RNA. The record is from RefSeq and is a predicted model, not a curated record. NCBI's taxonomy places the organism in Eukaryota, Metazoa, Chordata, Mammalia, Rodentia, Sciuridae.
UGCUACUGCCAGCAUUGCUGGAGCCCCAACACAGUACCCACCAGGACGGGGGACUCCACCCCCACCUGUAGGCAGAGCAACCCCACCACCAGGCAUCAUGGCUCCUCCACCUGGUAUGAGACCACCUAUGGGCCCACCAAUUGGGCUUCCCCCUGCUCGAGGGACGCCAAUAGGCAUGCCUCCUCCUGGAAUGAGGCCCCCACCACCAGGAAUUAGAGGUCCACCUCCCCCAGGAAUGCGUCCACCAAGACCCUAGAAUACUGUUGAUUCAUCUAAGUCACCUUUAUCCCUGCUCUGCGUCUUGUGAAUUGUGUAGAUUGUUUGUGAGCUUUUUGUCCCCUUUCUGCAUUAAUAAUAGACAAUAAAUGCAUAGAGCAAUUAAACCAUGAGAUACUUGUAUAUUUUUUCUUUGCCUAUUUAUAUUGGUGAGGUCAGAGUGAAAACAUUUUUUCUGGUAUUGAAUCCUAUUAAGGAAUUUAUUCAAAAUACUUUUUAAGGUAAAAUGAUUGUGCUAUUUGUUUCUGCUUUCUGACUUUCUUCUACUUUGUGCAUGACCAGUGUUGAUUGAUAACAUUUGCAGAUAGGAAACUCAUGAAACAGGGGCUUUAAGUUGUUAUGAAUUCAUAAAUAGUCUU